Non-coding RNA from Gossypium raimondii (Peruvian cotton), 148 nucleotides. Lineage: Eukaryota; Viridiplantae; Streptophyta; Magnoliopsida; Malvales; Malvaceae. The record is from Rfam.
UGUUAAAAUUUUCAUCUAUUUAUACUAUUAAAAACUGGCAUGGCUGGUGAAAUAAUCAGAUAGUAGUGAUAGGUGGCGUGCCACAUGUACCUCAUGGCGAUGUACAAAGAGCAGUUUUUAAUAAUAAAAAUAGAUGAGUUUUUUAAUA